Molecule: small nucleolar RNA, 127 nt
Organism: Protobothrops mucrosquamatus (brown spotted pit viper)
Lineage: Eukaryota; Metazoa; Chordata; Lepidosauria; Squamata; Viperidae
Product: small nucleolar RNA SNORA17
Exons: 1
Source: RefSeq, a predicted model, not a curated record
UGUGCUCCAACUACUGAUGCAAAAGGGGGUUAAGUGUCCCUUUUGCAUCAGUAGUUGGAGCACAAACCUGAAUGACUGUCAUAUUAAAUAAUUGUCCAUGAAGUCUAAUCAAUAUUAUUCAUUCACU